Long non-coding RNA from Dromaius novaehollandiae (emu), 2136 nucleotides. RefSeq lists it as uncharacterized. The transcript is spliced from 6 exons. The record is from RefSeq and is a predicted model, not a curated record. NCBI's taxonomy places the organism in Eukaryota, Metazoa, Chordata, Aves, Casuariiformes, Dromaiidae.
CCCAAUCGGCGGCCGCCCCGCCGUGGCCUUACGGCGGGCGCACCAAUGGCGGGGAAACUGAGGCCGAAGCGAAAGUGGAGGCAAUACAAUCCUGUGAAGGGGAAGAACAAAACGUAAGUGAAUGUAGAACUGCAUUGAAGAAAAAAUUUGAGAAGUAUUUGCCAAGUCGUGGUCAUUGUCGUGGUGAGAGCCACAUAUGCCACCUCCAAAGGGAAAGCCGUCCUCGCAGCCACGGCAGUGACAAGGAGUAAGGAGACACAACCCUCUGUCCCUGCAGAGUCUGGGCCAUCUGUAUGCAGUGGUGCCCAGCGUGAGAUACCCGUGACGGCCAGACGCUGCCUGCCUGCCUCAGCCUGAAGGUCUGAGCCAGGCGCGUGAACGAGGAUGGUGACCAAACAUGUACCUGCCCUGCCGAAGACGCGGGUCACCGCCCGUGGAGCGUGUCCCACGGACUUCAGCAGCACGUGUCCCCGGAUCCUGAGCCCAUUUCCUGCACGCCGGGCUGCAGCUCGUUGCAGUGUCCCCCGGGUGCCGUGAGCCGGCUGCGAGACGCUCGGGCUGCAAUGCGCGGCCACGCAAUGACAUCUCAAAGUGAGACUGCGUUUGGCCUGGCUGCUGCUCUGUUCCGGUCUCCGCAUUGGAUGGUAAGAGGGGGAUAAUAAGAGAGGAAAGGGAUAAAGAGACUGGGAGCAUAGAAAACCGGAUCAGAGUUACAGCAACAAUCGUGUGUAUCUCAGCUUUUUUUUCCCCACCUUUUUAUCCAACUCUUUAUGUAUGAGGAAUACGGAUGAGCAAUUGCAGUUUGCUGAGGACAGUAACUUCUCCGACCAGUAUAUAUGGCCAAAAGUGGAUCUGUGAAUAAGCCAUCAAUUAGAGAAAUCCUAAGGCCGCUCUAACCUUCUCCCACGGACCCCGGUAUCCCUGAGUCUGCAGAAGGACAGAGAUUUGUGUGGCAACUUAGGCCCAUCUCCAGCUGUGGCAAGGUGAUGCUCCCACGUCCGUAGAGGCUGUGGUGUUCGCUGCAGUUACCCCGAGGCAGUCCCCAGCAGCUGACGGGGAGAUAUGCAUAAAGGAAGUAUUUCACCCCAAGAAUACAUCUAAUCUCUGUGUCACUGAUGUCAUCCUUGCACGACCUUGGUACUUUGCAGAAGGACUACCACUAGGGUAAGAAAGGGGACAUUGGUCUUGAGGGAAAGGACCAUAUGGGUUGAAAUACAGUCAGACCACAAGGUGCAGAAAAUUGAAGGGAAUACCCCCAAAAUCACACUGCAGAACUCACAGCAGAACCCAGGACUUCUUAAUCCAGCCCCCACAUUUUGAGGUGGGGAUAGAAACCUUGUUGAACUACCCUUAAGUCGGAGCAUUGAGCCAAGCAGCCGUGCUGGCAGGGCUAGAGAGAGCUGGGCGAGGGGAGCAGAGCGUGGGAGGGCUGUCUGGGACAGUGUCUUCCUCCCACACUCGAGAGGAAGAAAUGUGUGUGCGCUCUCACAUCAGCUCAUGUGCCCUUCGGGCCUCUGCUGCUGGGCAGGACAGGCACGCUGUCCGCUACAGGCUCUGCCAGCUUGUGCCUUCCCAAGUUACCUGGCUUCAGGCCGAAACCCACAUGAAAAACGACAUGACACCCACUCAGCUUGGAUGCACUUCUCAAUUUUCAUGUCUCUUUGAUUUCCUAUUGGGAUAAAGAUGGAAGCAGCUGAAUUGUACUGGUCUCACUCUCCCAUCUAGUGGUAAAACAAGGAAAGGUGGUCCAGAUAAGAGACAGAAAGAAAUAAUUUAAGUUUUCCGUGGCUUCUGAAUGGGGUACAUGGUACUAUUAUCCCUGUGGAGCUCUGGGGUUCGGUUAAAUCCACCUUCCCCAGUGUGCUGGGGAAGAGGAAGGUCACAAAGCCAGCCCAGAAGACCCAGCAAAGUGCAAAGACUGUUCUGAACUGUUGCCAGGCCCUACAAGGUAGGGGCUACCCUUGCCCCAGGAAUAUCCACAAAGGAGGGAGAACUGUGCACUGAUAAAUAUGCCCCAGGUAAAAUGCUAAUAGUCUGGAUUUGGAAACAUGCACUUCUUAUGCAAAACGAUGUCUCCUGAGCAGCUGUUGAUGAAUGGGAGCCAGGAUGUUGCUGAAUAGCGUGAGAGCUGAAUCU